RNAcentral lists this ribosomal RNA (253 nucleotides) under uncultured bacterium. RNAcentral describes it as "partial 16S ribosomal RNA". It matches the Rfam family "Bacterial small subunit ribosomal RNA", at positions 524 to 776 of the family's 1533-position model. The record is from RNAcentral.
UACGUAGGGUGCAAGCGUUGUCCGGAAUUAUUGGGCGUAAAGAGCUCGUAGGCGGUCUGUCGCGUCUGCUGUGAAAACUCGGGGCUUAACCCCGGGCCUGCAGUGGGUACGGGCAGACUAGAGUGCGGUAGGGGAGACUGGAAUUCCUGGUGUAGCGGUGAAAUGCGCAGAUAUCAGGAGGAACACCGGUGGCGAAGGCGGCAUCCUGGACCGACAUUGACGCUGAACGGCGAAAGCUAGGGGAGCAAACGGG